RNAcentral lists this long non-coding RNA (415 nucleotides) under Fragaria vesca (wild strawberry). Its description in RNAcentral is "long non-coding RNA (FVES_LNC000486)". Lineage: Eukaryota; Viridiplantae; Streptophyta; Magnoliopsida; Rosales; Rosaceae. The record is from RNAcentral.
CACUACUCCACCUCCGGUCACCUCAUCCCCACCCCCAGCAGCCACCACACCUCCCCCAGUUGCCGCCUCACCACCUCCAGUGACCGCAUCUCCACCACCUGCCACUCCUCCUCCAGUGAGCGCACCUCCGCCCGCCACUCCACCUCCGGCAACCCCACCACCAGUCAGCGCUCCCCCACCGGCCACUCCACCACCCGCAACUCCUCCCCCGGCUACUCCACCACCCGCCACUCCACCCCCGGCAACUCCACCACCAGCAACUCCACCUCCGGCCACUCCACCACCAGCUCCUCUUGCAUCGCCGCCAGCUUCAGUUCCAGCUCCAUCUCCCACGGUGAAGUCUCCGGCUUUGGCUCCAUCUCCUCUAGCUCUUUCCCCAGGUCCACCAGCGCCUCCUGUCGGAGCGCCUGGUCCC